Mycena rebaudengoi is the source of this 84-nucleotide non-coding RNA. The record is from the annotation of a GenBank genome assembly. Lineage: Eukaryota; Fungi; Basidiomycota; Agaricomycetes; Agaricales; Mycenaceae.
GAUUGUGGAAGUGUAGCGGUUGUCACUUCAGAUUCUGAUUCUUGCGGAUUUCUGGCGACCCCAGUUCGAUUCCGGGCACGACCU